CCUACGGGUGGCAGCAGUGAGGAAUAUUGCACAAUGGGGGAAACCCUGAUGCAGCGACGCCGCGUGAGUGAAGAAGGAUUUCGGUAUGUAAAACUCUAUCAGCAGGGGAGAAAAUGACGGUACCUGACUAAGAAGCCCCGGCUAACUACGUGCCAGCAGCCGCGGUCAUACGUAGGGGGCAAGCGUUAUCCGGAUUUACUGGGUGUAAAGGGAGCGUAGACGGGUAAUCAAGUCAGAAGUGAAAACCCAGGGAUCAACCUUGGGAGUGCUUUUGAAACUGCGUAGCUAGAGUGCAGGAGAGGUAAGCGGAAUGCCUAGUGUAGCGGUGAAAUGCGUAGAUAUGAGGAGGAACACCAGUGGCGAAGGCGGCUUACUGGACUGUAACUGACGUUGAGGCUCGAAAGCGUGGGGAGCAAACAGGAUUAGAUACCCGGGUAGUC
This 440-nucleotide ribosomal RNA is filed under the name uncultured bacterium. Its description in RNAcentral is "partial 16S ribosomal RNA". It matches the Rfam family "Bacterial small subunit ribosomal RNA", at positions 338 to 795 of the family's 1533-position model. The record is from RNAcentral.